This 253-nucleotide ribosomal RNA is filed under the name uncultured bacterium. RNAcentral describes it as "partial 16S ribosomal RNA". It matches the Rfam family "Bacterial small subunit ribosomal RNA", at positions 524 to 776 of the family's 1533-position model. The record is from RNAcentral.
UACGUAGGGUGCGAGCAUUGUCCGGAAUUAUUGGGCGUAAAGAGCUCGUAGGCGGCUUGUCGCGUCGGAUGUGAAAGCCCGGGGCUUAACCCCGGGUCUGCAUUCGAUACGGGCAGGCUAGAGUUCGGUAGGGGAGAUCGGAAUUCCUGGUGUAGCGGUGAAAUGCGCAGAUAUCGGGAGGAACACCAGUAGCGAAGGCGGCACUCUGGGCCGGUACUGACGCUGAGGCGCGAAAGCGUGGGGAGCAAACAGG